RNAcentral lists this unclassified non-coding RNA (210 nucleotides) under plant metagenome. Its description in RNAcentral is "partial contains small subunit ribosomal RNA, internal transcribed spacer 1, and 5.8S ribosomal RNA". The record is from RNAcentral.
UCUCCGUUGGUGAACCAGCGGAGGGAUCAUUACUGGAAUCGCAAGAUCCCACAGCCCCUGUGAACCUACCGAAACGUUGCCUCGGCGGGCGCCCGGCCCCGCGCCGGGCGCUGAGCCCGCCGGCGGCCCCCUACUCUUGUCUCUGCAGCGUGGCAUCUCAGAGUCCCGGAAAACAAGUAAAAACUUUCAACAACGGAUCUCUUGGCUCUA